UAAUACCAGCUCUCCGAGUGGUGGGGAUGCUUAUUGGGCCUAAAGCAUCCGUAGCCUGCUGGACAAGUCCCCCGUUAAAUCCAACGAUUCAAUCGUUGGACUGCAGGGGAUACUGUUCGGCUAGGGGACGGGAGAGGCCGACGGUAUUCUUGGGGUAGGGGUGAAAUCCUAUAAUCCCGGGAAGACCACCAGUGGCGAAGGCUGUCGGCUAGAACGCGCCCGACGGUGAGGGAUGAAAGCUGGGGGAGCGAACCGGAUUAGAUACCCGGGUAGUCCCAGCUGUAAACGAUGCAGGCUAGGUGUGUGGGUGCCCUAGAGGUACCCAUGUGCCGAAGGGAAACCGUUAAGCCUGCCGCCUGGGGAGUACGGCCGCAAGGCUGAAACUUAAAGGAAUUGGCGGGGGAGCACCACAAGGGGUGGAGCCUGCGGUUC
Molecule: ribosomal RNA, 432 nt
Filed under: uncultured archaeon
Lineage: Archaea
Description: bacterial SSU rRNA
Rfam family: Archaeal small subunit ribosomal RNA
Source: RNAcentral